RNAcentral lists this ribosomal RNA (501 nucleotides) under uncultured bacterium. RNAcentral describes it as "partial 16S ribosomal RNA". It matches the Rfam family "Bacterial small subunit ribosomal RNA", at positions 30 to 523 of the family's 1533-position model. The record is from RNAcentral.
AUUGAACGCAGGCGGCAGGCUUAACACAUGCAAGUCGAGCGGAGAUGAGGUGCUUGCACCUUAUCUUAGCGGCGGACGGGUGAGUAAUGCUUAGGAAUCUGCCUAUUAGUGGGGGACAACAUUCCGAAAGGAAUGCUAAUACCGCAUACUUCCUACGGGAGAAAGCAGGGGAUCUUCGGACCUUGCGCUAAUAGAUGAGCCUAAGGCGGAUUAGCUAGUUGGUUGGGUAAAGGCCUACCAAGGCGACGAUCUGUAGCGGGUCUGAGAGGAUGAUCCGCCACACUGGGACUGAGACACGGCCCAGACUACUACGGGAAGCAGCAGUGGGGAAUAUUGGACAAUGGGGGGAACCCUGAUCCAGCCAUGCCGCGUGUGUGAAGGAGGCCUUAUGGUUGUAAAGCACUUUAAGCGAGGAGGAGGCUACUGAGACUAAUACUCUUGGAUAGUGGACGUUACUCGCAGAAUAAGCACCGGCUAACUCUGUGCCAGCCGCCGCGGUAA